GACGAACGCUGGCGGCGUGCUUAACACAUGCAAGUCGAACGAAGAGCGAUGGAAGCUUGCUUCUAUCAAUCUUAGUGGCGAACGGGUGAGUAACGCGUAAUCAACCUGCCCUUCAGAGGGGGACAACAGUUGGAAACGACUGCUAAUACCGCAUACGAUUUAAUCUCGGCAUCGAGGAUAGAUGAAAGGUGGCCUCUACAUGUAAGCUAUCACUGAAGGAGGGGAUUGCGUCUGAUUAGCUAGUUGGAGGGGUAACGGCCCACCAAGGCGAUGAUCAGUAGCCGGUCUGAGAGGAUGAACGGCCACAUUGGGACUGAGACACGGCCCAGACUCCUACGGGAGGCAGCAGUGGGGAAUCUUCCGCAAUGGACGAAAGUCUGACGGAGCAACGCCGCGUGAGUGAUGACGGCCUUCGGGUUGUAAAGCUCUGUUAAUCGGGACGAAAGGCCUUCUUGCGAAUAGUGAGAAGGAUUGACG
RNAcentral lists this ribosomal RNA (477 nucleotides) under Veillonella parvula. RNAcentral describes it as "bacterial SSU rRNA". It matches the Rfam family "Bacterial small subunit ribosomal RNA", at positions 28 to 474 of the family's 1533-position model. The record is from RNAcentral. Lineage: Bacteria; Bacillati; Bacillota; Negativicutes; Veillonellales; Veillonellaceae.